RNAcentral lists this long non-coding RNA (464 nucleotides) under Panax ginseng (ginseng). RNAcentral's name for it is "long non-coding RNA (PGIN_LNC005126)". Lineage: Eukaryota; Viridiplantae; Streptophyta; Magnoliopsida; Apiales; Araliaceae. The record is from RNAcentral.
CCGUCUGACACCAGUCAGAAUAGUUUUAAAACCAUUACAACUCUUUCAAAUUAAUAAUUAAAAUUAAAUAGCUCGGCAGCCUCUGGUGUCGCGCGCGGGCGCACGCCCCUCCUAUACAUUUCUCGCGCGGGCGCGCGAGUGCAAGUUUUGGUCCAGCCGUGUGGUGGCGCAGGCACGCAUGUGUUGGCCUGUAUAACCACGCGGCCACGCGACUUCUGUAGUCUGAUCAGUUCUGAUUCUGCUGCUGCAACUGAUCUGUUCUGCUGCUCAUUCCUUUGUCCAUUCAUGCUUAGUCUCCUUGCUCCACUUGAUCCUCAUGCCAUGCAUCCAUUAGCCUCAUGCCCUCUAACAUCACCAAAUCAUGCCAUAUCCUGCACUUUUGCAUCAAAGGAGUUUUAAGUAAAUGUAAUGCAAAAUAACAUGAAAUACAACUAAAAACACACUAAAAUGUACUUAAGAUGGGC